This 468-nucleotide ribosomal RNA is filed under the name uncultured bacterium. RNAcentral describes it as "partial 16S ribosomal RNA". It matches the Rfam family "Bacterial small subunit ribosomal RNA", at positions 28 to 507 of the family's 1533-position model. The record is from RNAcentral.
GACGAACGCUGGCGGCGUGCUUAACACAUGCAAGUCGAACGGAAAGGCCCUGCUUUUGUGGGGUGCUCGAGUGGCGAACGGGUGAGUAACACGUGAGUAACCUGCCCUUGACUUUGGGAUAACUUCAGGAAACUGGGGCUAAUACCGGAUAGGAGCUCCUGCUGCAUGGUGGGGGUUGGAAAGUUUCGGCGGUUGGGGAUGGACUCGCGGCUUAUCAGCUUGUUGGUGGGGUAGUGGCUUACCAAGGCUUUGACGGGUAGCCGGCCUGAGAGGGUGACCGGCCACAUUGGGACUGAGAUACGGACCAGACUCCUACGGGAGGCAGCAGUGGGGAAUAUUGCACAAUGGGCGGAAGCCUGAUGCAGCAACGCCGCGCGCGGGAUGACGGCCUUCGGGUUGUAAACCGCUUUCGCCUGUGACGAAGCGUGAGUGACGGUAAUGGGUAAAGAAGCACCGGCUAACUACGUG